Lagopus leucura (white-tailed ptarmigan) is the source of this 1319-nucleotide long non-coding RNA. RefSeq lists it as uncharacterized. The record is from RefSeq and is a predicted model, not a curated record. The transcript has 3 exons. NCBI's taxonomy places the organism in Eukaryota, Metazoa, Chordata, Aves, Galliformes, Phasianidae.
CUGUGUACCUGAGGUUUUAUGAAGAUACAACAUGCCAGGAAGUGGCAUCAGAACUUCUGCAAGUACCCAGUGGCUCCUACUGGACUGCACUAUGACUUCAUCUUAGCAGGUGUAAGGAAGAAGAGAAACUUUCACCCCUAUUUUGUGGUGGGAAAACAAAUACUGCCAAGCUAAUAUACUUACACAGGAGAUACUUUUUGAGGAUUAAGGACUAAAAGAAAAAGGACCCACUUGACCAAAUGGUCACUUCAGUCUUUUACUGAUAAUACUUGCCUUCUGGAAUCCCAGAUCUUUGUGGCUCAUGAGAAAAUCUAGAGCAAGGAAAACUUGCCUUAGGUGCAGGAAAAUCAGGAAAAAGAACACUUAAGCAAAAUGGACACAUACAAGCUCAUACAAACUCUGGUAGACUUGAUCACUGUGUUGCCAUUCAGAAGAAUUCAGACAAGUAGAACAAAUGGACCAGUAUGGACCUAAUGGUGUUCAACAAAGGGAGAUGCAAAGUUGUCAAGUUGAGAAAUCAUGCUCUAGUAUAUGUUGGGAGUGGGCAGGCUAGAAAGCAACUUGGUAGAAAAAGACACAUGGGAUUUGGUGGACAGCAAGUUGACCAUGAACCAAUGUGUCCUUGCAGCUAAAAAGGCCAACAGCUUCCUUAGCUGCAUUAGGAAGAGCGUUGCCGGGAAUGAUGAUUCUUUUUCAGCGGUAGCAAGAGACCUCUUGGGAGUUUCAUCCAGAUCUUUGGCUCCUCUGUAGAAGGAUAUGGGCAUAUUGUAACUAUGUCCAGGAGUUGGACUCGAUGGUCCUUUUGAAUCUCAUCCAACUCAAGAUAUUUUAUGAAAAUGAUUUGGACUCUGGAGCAUCUGACAUGUGGCAAUUGUCAUUGUUGGAAUUGUUCAGCUUGGAGAAGAAUAUGGGGGAUAUUAACAGUAUGCAAAAUACUUGAUAAGAAGGCAUAAAGGCUACAGAGCCAGACUCUACUCAGUAAUUCCCAGCGGCAGAUGAUGAAGAAAUGGGCACAAACUGAAACAAAGGACAAUCCAUUUAAACGGGGAGCCAGGGGAACAACUUUUUCAUUGUAAGGGCGCUGGAAUAGAAUGCCUAGAGAGCAUGUAGAGUCUUCACUCUUCAAGAUGCUUGAAACCUAUCUGAGCAAUUUUUAUGCUCUAAGCACACCCACUCUGAGCCCAGAGGGCUGGACAUGAGCACCUCCAAAGGUGCCUUUUAGCCUCAGCUGCUCUGUGACUCUGUGGGUCCUGCAGAGCUCAUGGAGUGGAACAGGGCUGUGGUUUGGUUGAUGAUUUCUUCCACCAAGUGUUAAUGCU